CCCUUAGAUGUUCUGGGCCGCACGCGUGCUACACUGAGUGGAUCAGCGGGUCAGGUUGCGCGAAAGCGUUUCCUAAUCUUUAAAUCCGCUCGUGAUGGGGAUUGACGGUUGCAAUUUUCUGUCAUGAACGAGGAAUACCUUGUAAGCGCGGGUCAUCAUCCCGCGCUGAAUACGUCCCUGCCCUUUGUACACACCGCCCGUCGCUCCUACCGAUUGAGUGGUCCGGUGAGGCUUUGGGAUCUGAGCGGAAAGAGCGUUUCGCUGUUUCUGCUCGGAAAACUCAGUCGAACCUUAUCAUUUAGAGGAAGUAAAAGUCGUAACA
Molecule: ribosomal RNA, 322 nt
Filed under: uncultured eukaryote
Lineage: Eukaryota
Description: partial 18S ribosomal RNA
Rfam family: Eukaryotic small subunit ribosomal RNA
Source: RNAcentral